UACGGAGGGUGCGAGCGUUAAUCGGAAUUACUGGGCGUAAAGCGCACGUAGGCGGUUUGUUAAGCUAGAUGUGAAAGCCCCGGGCUUAACCUGGGAAUUGCAUUUAGAACUGGCAGGCUAGAGUUUUGGAGAGGGUGGUAGAAUUUCCAGUGUAGCGGUGAAAUGCGUAGAUAUUGGAAGGAAUAUCAGUGGCGAAGGCGGCCACCUGGCCAAAAACUGACGCUGAGGAGCGAAAGCGUGGGGAGCAAACAGG
RNAcentral lists this ribosomal RNA (253 nucleotides) under uncultured bacterium. Its description in RNAcentral is "partial 16S ribosomal RNA". It matches the Rfam family "Bacterial small subunit ribosomal RNA", at positions 524 to 776 of the family's 1533-position model. The record is from RNAcentral.